This 232-nucleotide long non-coding RNA is filed under the name Linum usitatissimum (flax). RNAcentral describes it as "long non-coding RNA (LUSI_LNC007345)". The record is from RNAcentral. Lineage: Eukaryota; Viridiplantae; Streptophyta; Magnoliopsida; Malpighiales; Linaceae.
AGGACGCUUCGAGCCAUGUCUUGCUAGGUCCUUUCAUUAGUCUUUGCUUUGUUUGUCGUUUCGUUUUAAACUGUUGAAUUUGUUUUCUUUUGGUUGUAUUUGCUCGUUGGUUGAUCUAUCAGUUGGAGAGAAAGGAGCGAGGCCACUUAUCAUAAGGACCAGCAGUCCAUGUAGCCCUGUUAGUAGGGUCUACACCUCCGAUGAGACAACUUGACCGCAUUGUAAUAUUGCC